AACGAACGCUGGCGGCAUGCCUAACACAUGCAAGUCGAACGAAGCCUUCGGGCUUAGUGGCGCACGGGUGCGUAACGCGUGGGAAUCUGCCCUUGGGUUCGGAAUAACAGUUAGAAAUGACUGCUAAUACCGGAUGAUGACUUCGGUCCAAAGAUUUAUCGCCCAAGGAUGAGCCCGCGUAAGAUUAGCUAGUUGGUGGGGUAAUGGCCUACCAAGGCGACGAUCUUUAGCUGGUCUGAGAGGAUGAUCAGCCACACUGGGACUGAGACA
Molecule: ribosomal RNA, 270 nt
Filed under: uncultured bacterium
Lineage: Bacteria
Description: partial 16S ribosomal RNA
Rfam family: Bacterial small subunit ribosomal RNA
Source: RNAcentral